UUUGUAAUUUAUUUUAUUUGUUUGUGGCUUCUUUUUAUAAUGUAAUGCAUAAAAAUGGUGGUGUUCUUUCAUUUUAAAAAAUAAACCAAUAAACACUUCAUUUUAUUAGUUUGAUACAAAUAAAUGGUCUUUUACACGACAAAUACAUACAGUGGUUCUUCACAUUUUGUUAUUUUCUUCACUGUUUCUUGCAAAAAAAAUGUUUCUCGUGGUUCUCGUGCUUUGUUGUUUCUCUUCUUUCGUAAAUGUCUUGUCUUGUAUAAGGAAACGCAAAAACUCUGCGAACAAGUUUGAUUUUGUUUGUUUGUCUUGCUUGUUUUUGUUCUUAGUUUUCAUUUUGGUUUCAUCAUUGGAACGGCUUUAUUGAACUUUUGUUGUUGUUGUUGCUUUUGGUUUUGCAUAUAAUUUAAUUUUGUUUGUUUGAUUUGUUGUUUCUAAUUGCAUUCUUGCAUUAAAAAACAUUAAUUCUUUGGCAGGCAUUGCAUUUCGUAGUUUUGUAAAAGUUUUCUUUUCCCAUUCAUUCUCGUUCUCAACGCAAGAUUCGAAACCGAAAAACGUAAAGAUUCGAAAUAUUUGAGAUGUACAUAGAAACAAAUAAUUCGUUUAAUUUUGCUUAGUUUCAUUUCAUGUAUCAUUUUUCUGUUUUGAUUUUGUUUAUCAAAUACACAUCAAUACUUUGGUAGUUUAAAAAUUGUGGUUUCCGUGUUUUUUCGUAUUUUUUUUUUGUUUUAAUUUUCUGUUGUGCUAAAUUACAUUUUAAAAAUAUGCUUAAUAU
This 775-nucleotide long non-coding RNA is filed under the name Drosophila guanche. The record is from RNAcentral. Lineage: Eukaryota; Metazoa; Arthropoda; Insecta; Diptera; Drosophilidae.